UUGCUCUGGAGCAAUCGAGAUAGCAUUGAACGCCCCCAGUUGAUCGUGGUGAUAACAUCCUAAUUCCAAGACCUGGUUUUUUUCUUUACAAAUGCAUCUGUGGAUCGCGGAAGAUUGAGACACGAUUUUUUAAACUCAUUCCUGAAAAUGGUUGGGAAGCCAACUUUGACGAUAUGGCUUCACUUAUUGAGGAGAGAACAAAGCUUAUUGUCGUUGUAAACCCAUCAAAUCCCUGUGGUUCUGUAUACAAAAGAGAACAUUUGGAAGAAAUUUUAAACAUUGCUGAAAAAUACCGCGUCCCAGUUC
This is a long non-coding RNA of Xenia sp. Carnegie-2017, 306 nucleotides long. RefSeq lists it as uncharacterized. The transcript has 3 exons. The record is from RefSeq and is a predicted model, not a curated record. NCBI's taxonomy places the organism in Eukaryota, Metazoa, Cnidaria, Anthozoa, Malacalcyonacea, Xeniidae.